Molecule: long non-coding RNA, 4181 nt
Filed under: Taeniopygia guttata (zebra finch)
Lineage: Eukaryota; Metazoa; Chordata; Aves; Passeriformes; Estrildidae
Description: lncRNA (ENSTGUG00000025025.1)
Source: RNAcentral
GAUCUGUGCCAUGAUCUUCCCAGGCACAGAGGGAAGAUCCCCGUUUCCCCUUUUCAGUCACCUGGGACUUCGCUUGGCUGCCAUGACCUUUCAAAUAUCAUGGAGAGGGGAUUGGCAACUACAUCAACCCAUUCCCUCAGACUCUGGGAUGCAUCUCAUUCCUCAGGGGGUCAAGAACUCGAUCAUUACUUGCCAGGGAACACUUUUCUGCCACAGUCCCAGUCCUGCUGUCCAUCCACUCUACAGGUGUGAGAAGAGAGGUUGCCACUGAUGACUGAGGAAAUUCUGGGAUGCAAUUUAGCUAGUACUUGUUCAAAUUCUAUAUUUUGAGAGCAGAAUACAGUGCUUCCUGGCUUGUUUUAGUUCUAAUAUUAAUUUUAGUAUAACCAUUAUUCCAUGAUACUGCAUGUUUAAAUUGCUGCAUAACCAUAUUUAAACUAAGAUCUGAAAAUAUAUCAUGAUGGCACCAAAAUUAUGCCCUAGAGCACACUCUUUCUGAAAGAACAGACAUUUUAAAAAAUAACGUUCCUGAAAUGCAGGCUAGAAGACUGUUUAUCACAACCACCAAGGAGUCUACAGCAAAUAUGUCCAAGUUAGUAUUCCCUAAUGACCUAAACAUAAUAUUAACAAAACCUCACAUCCUGAAAUAUAAAUUCUAAUCACCAUAAACAGUGUGUAAAACAAAAUGUGUUUGAUAGGUUUGCAGCAGGUUUCAGCAACACAUAGAAAAAAAAGUCUUCAAAUACAUGGAACAGGCAUGAAUUUUAUUCUUACUCCACUUUUUUAUUUCAGUGAUUAUCCAAAACUGAAUGUGAAGCAAGAAUUGCCUAAGACUGGGAUGCUGUACUUUUGUCAUAUUCAAAUUAAAUACCUGAAUAGAACUUUGCUUUUACAAUAGAGGUGAACAAUAUAAUAGUUGAACAAAUCUGUCUAUCAGACUACAGACAAUAUGAGUAAACUGUGUUUGCACUUAGAAAUUUUAGAACAAACAGGUCUGCUGUAACACUCCUUCUAAGCCACGAUAAAUAAAAUGUAACUGCCCACAAUCAGUUAAGAGCUGUUGACCUCUUCAUAUCCAUAAAUCCAACAUUGUGUCAUACUGUUUUCACAAGAAUGCUCUCCAAAGAGUUUUCAAGGUUAAUUUUGCUGUUACUCCCUCUGGCAGGGUAAGCAGAUAAUUCUGUCUCCUCACUAAUUUCUCUCCCAGCUUCUUUGAUAUCAGUAACUUGCACCCGUGCUAAAUGAAGUUUUCAUAUUUUGCCAAGGCCACUGUUUGAAUUCGUCAAUCUGUUAUAUUUCUAACAGUAAUAUUGAUACUUUAAAGGAUGUAGAAAAAGCAUUGUCUGUUUCUUGUUAGUGAGAUUGCUGAGAAUGUUGUAUACCUUCAGUGGCAACAUUGUGGGGCAAGCUGCUCUACUGUCUCCAUUUCCAUUUCAGAGUAAUUAAAAUUGAAGGUUUGCUUGAACCUGAACAAAAGUAUUUCUUCCUGUGGCUGUAUAACAGAUGGAAGAAAAAUAUAUAUAUCUUGGUCACAAUGUCAAGCAUUAAGAUAUAAAUUAACUGCAUACAUGUUAAAGUUUUAUUGUUCAGAUCAUAUCCUUCAAAAAGUGUUCCAUUCCUUGUAUUGCUCACAUUAGUAAUUCUAUUGAAAUAAGAUUAUUCUUCUAAGUGUAAACAUGUAAAAUUGUUGAAUUUAGGGCCUGUGAAACUUUUGGCUACAGUCAAUUUAGUUGUUUACAAAACCAAUAGAUUCAGAUUUAAGCUAAAGGAUAAGUUCCUAAAUAUUAAAAUAUGAUCUUUUGUUCAAUGAACAGCACAAAACCUUUAAGGCCUGCUACUGUGAAUCAACACAAUUUCACCCCACAAAUCUUUGCUCAUUCACAUCAGCUGUGGAUGUGUCUAUAGGAAAUGGAGGAGAUACUUUGCACUUGAGGCUAACAGUGUUCAGAAGUGCUACUGCCAUUUACUAAUCAGCCAGGAAAAUACUUGAAGUACUUGAAGUCUUAUGAGCCAAUGCAUGUAUUUCAAAAAAUACAUGUGAAUAAAGGUGAAAAAAGUCCUCACAUUUUAUUAACAUGUAGGUAUUUUUCCACAUCUGAAAUGCAUUCUUUUUACCAAAUUUUAUCAAUUUUAAAUUAGAGACAAAACUUGGUGUGUGGAAAUGGCACACAGCAGUAACACCAUUCUGAGAUAAGGCACAGAAAAAUUCCUGUAAUUCUGGCUUUUUACACUUUGAAGGUGUGGUGCUGCAGUCAGGCCAGCAAACCUUGCUUUCUUGCUUUUAUGAAAAUGGGGACUCUAUUUCCACUUUUUUUUUUUUUUUUUUAAUUAAUCCCCUACUGAAAACUAACUAGUGACUUGACCUGGCUUGUGAAGAGGAACACCAAAAGCCAGAAUCAGCACAGAACAAGCAACAGAGGCAUGUGGCUGGGACUCAAUGGAAAAGCAAAGAGGCAGCAGUGCUCUAUUAAGAUUUUCUCUGCUGAUGUCAAGAAACAAAACCUUUAGAAAGAUUCAGAACUGACUCAGUUAAGGAUUUACUUUCAUUACCCUACCUUCUAUCUAUAGUUUCCUCUAUAUUUCCACAAAGGUGAACAAUCUUUGAACAUGCUGGAUUCCCAGUAUUAUACUGAAUGCAUCAGUACUUCAAUUAGUAUACUAAUGAAGCACAAUGAAUGAAGAUAGCAAAGUCACCUGCAACCACUGACAAACUGAGAAAAAUUUUAAAAACUGCUCUCUACAUGCUCCUUUCUGGUGAAAAACAAGGUGACAGUACUUCUAUCAAUGCUAAACUUUAAACACAACUUUUUUUCCUUAAAGUACUCUGUCUGCAGGGACUUAAAAUGCAGCUUAUUUUAGAGUACCCUACACUGCUGAAUUAAUUAGAAUGAUCCAUUCAGGUCUUACAGGAAUAUACAGUUUGAUAUCAGAAGCCAGACAUGCAAACCCAUUUUGUGGAGUAUUCAUUAUACUCUAUAUAUCUGGCAGAGAUUAAAAGGCUUGGGGCAGCAUAUCCCCCCAGUCAUAACAUUAGUGUAAGCUCAAGAAUCCUUUCCAGGGAGCUGUGAAACAAGUUGUUUGUCCUGCUGAGGACAGGAGGGAAUUGCCAGCUCCUUGGCUGUUCAGCUUGUUUCCUCACUAGUACCCUGGGGAAGAGACCUCUGUGCAAAAGGAUCUGGCAGCCUUUAUCCCAUACUCGAGAUGGAUCAUUUAAUAGAAGCAUAAUGGAGCAUCACAUUUCAGUUCAGAAACACUGCUUGGAAGAGUGGACAGUGUCUGCACACCAGAAACGGUUCAAAUUUAGCCUCCCUUAGUGUGCAAAAUUGAAACCAAUUCUUUUUGGUAGCCCAGAGUGAUCUGGGCUCCAUACCACAUAAGUGAAAAUUGUACCUCUGCAUGUUUGAGUUCUACCAGUAGCUCACCCUACAAGCACAUAGCUAAAAAGUACUUUGAAGGAAGAAAAAAAGAGUAAAGGCCACAUUCACAGGGAAGAAAAAAAAUUGAUCUCAAAUCAAGCAUUGGAAAGAAUAGAAGCUUUUCCUCCUUUAAAAGAGCAUCAAGAGGCAAUUGAAGGAUACAAAAAUCUUUUUAGGGUAGUUUCAAGACAUGUUUGUGUUGGCUAACACAUAUCAAAUGGAACACAAAUAUUAUCAAUCAAAUAUACUCAUUUAAAAACCAAAUAAUUCUAGUAGUUGUGUUGGAAUUCUGGUGCAUCUGUACUGUUAAGCAGGGUUUCAGCUUUGAUGUGUAAAAUACUGGCAUUUCAUAUAUCCCUCAGAAUAAAAGGAGAAAAAACACCCCAAAGAUUUUGAAGUUCCAGUGUUUUUGCUGGGAAUCUUUUGCUGACUUCAGCAGACACUGAAUCAGGUCUCUGAAUAUGAGUUUUUCCCAGCUGAUUUUCAUAAGCUGCUUCCUGAAGUUUGCAAUAAACAACUUUGUUCACAUGACUUAGCCCAGAAAAAACACUUUUGAAGGCCAACUACUGUAUCUUGUGUUCCUUUAGCAGUUAAGAUAUUUGCCAGCUCCAUUCUUUCAGACAAAAUAUGCAAGCUUUCUUUCCAACAGCUUUGAACACUACCAUUCCUGACAGUUGCAUAGUUUUUGUAAUUUAUGCCUCAACUGUCGGUUUACAUUUAAUGCAUCUUCACUUUAAGGCAAUUUAAUUAAAAAAAAAAAAAAAA